GGCGAGUGAAUGUAACUGGCGAGGUUAAGUUCUUAAGGAACGGAGCCGAAGCGAAAGCAAGUCUGAAUAGGGCGUCUUAGUCAGUUGUAUUCGACCCGAAACCGGGUGACCUAUCCAUGUCCAGGAUGAAGUUAAGGUAAAACUUGAUGGAGGUCCGAACCCACGGUCGUUGAAAUGCCCGGGGAUGAGAUGUGGAUAGCGGAGAAAUUCCAAUCGAACCCGGAUAUAGCUGGUUCUCUCCGAAAUAGCUUUAGGGCUAGCCUCGACUGAACAUUACCGGAGGUAGAGCACUGAAUGGGCUAGGGGCCGAGAGGUUACUGAACCCUAUCAAACUUCAAAUGCCGGAAAAUGAUAGUCGGGAGUCAGACUGCGUGAGAUAAGUUUCGUAGUCGAAAGGGAAACAGCCCAGACCCACAGCUAAGGUCCCAAAGUACGGUUAAGUGGAAAAGGAUGUGGAGUUGCACAGACAACCAGGAUGUUGGCUUAGAAGCAGCCACUCAUUAAAAGAGUGCGUAAUAGCUCACUGGUCGAGUGACUCUGCGCCGAAAAUUUAACGGGGCUAAAUCGUACACCGAAGCUUGGGAAUAUCAGUUAUUCUUCAUGGACUUGCUAAGGUAAGACACCAUGGCACGGAGUGCCAUCAAAUUGUCCAGAAGGAUAAAGCGAGCUUGUGAAGAAUAACUGAUAUUGGUAGGAGAGCGUUGAAUGCGGGGUGAAGUCAGAGCGAAAGCGCUGGUGGACUGCAUUGAAGUGAGAAUGCCGGAAUGAGUAGCGAGAUUUAUGUGAGAAUCAUAAAGGCCGAAAGACUAAGGUUUCAGAAGGAAGGUUCGUCCGCUUCUGGUUAGCCGGGAGCUAAGGUGAGGCCGAAAGGCGUAGCCGAUGCACAUACGGUGGAGAUUCCGUAGCCGUCGAAAUAUUUAAGCAAAGGGACACUUAUGAAGGACAUGACCCGGGCGAUGGUAGCCCCGGGCGUAAGGGACUGAAAACAAGUAAGGAAGCAUGUUUGGAUUAAGGCGAGAAAAGCUUUGUGUAUAUAUGAGACGUCCGUACCGCAAACCGACACAGGUAGUCAGGAAGAGGAUUCUAAGGCCAACGGGAGAAGGGUAGUUAAGGAACUCGGCAAAUUGACCCCGUAACUUCGGGAUAAGGGGCGGUGCGUAAGCACCCGCAGUGAAUAGGUCCAGGCGACUGUUUAUCAAAAACACAGCUCUCUGCUAAAUCGAAAGAUGACGUAUAGGGGGUGACACCUGCCCGGUGCUGGAAGGUUAAGAGGAGGAGUGCAAGCUCCGAAUUGAAGCCCCAGUAAACGGCGGCCGUAACUAUAACGGUCCUAAGGUAGCGAAAUUCCUUGUCGGGUAAGUUCCGACCCGCACGAAUGGUGUAACGAUCUGGACGCUGUCUCAACUGCCCACCCGGCGAAAUUGUAGUACCGGUGAAGAUGCCGGUUACCCGCGGCAAGACGGAAAGACCCCAUGGAGCUUUACUGUAACUUGAUAUUGGGUCUUGGUAUUCUAUGUACAGGAUAGGCGGGAGACUAUGAAACAUACACGCCAGUGUAUGCGGAGUCACCCUUGGGAUACCGCUCUUAGAGUACUGAGAUUCUAACCUGCGGCCGUGAAUCCGGUCGGGGGACAUUGUCAGGUGGGCAGUUUGACUGGGGCGGUCGCCUCCUAAAAGGUAACGGAGGCGCUCAAAGGUUAGCUCAGCACGGUCGGAAACCGUGCCUCUGAGUGCAAACGCAAAAGCUAGCCUAACUGCGAGGCUGACGGGCCGAGCAGUAACGAAAGUUGGAGUUAGUGA
RNAcentral lists this ribosomal RNA (1800 nucleotides) under human gut metagenome. RNAcentral describes it as "bacterial LSU rRNA". It matches the Rfam family "Bacterial large subunit ribosomal RNA", at positions 622 to 2418 of the family's 2925-position model. The record is from RNAcentral.